GCGGAGGAAAAGAAACCAACAGGGAUUGCCUCAGUAGCGGCGAGUGAAGCGGCAAGAGCUCAGAUUUGAAAUCGUGCUUUGCGGCACGAGUUGUAGAUUGCAGGUUGGAGUCUGUGUGGAAGGCGGUGUCCAAGUCCCUUGGAACAGGGCGCCCAGGAGGGUGAGAGCCCCGUGGGAUGCCGGCGGAAGCAGUGAGGCCCUUCUGACGAGUCGAGUUGUUUGGGAAUGCAGCUCCAAGCGGGUGGUAAAUUCCAUCUAAGGCUAAAUACUGGCGAGAGACCGAUAGCGAACAAGUACUGUGAAGGAAAGAUGAAAAGCACUUUGAAAAGAGAGUGAAACAGCACGUGAAAUUGUUGAAAGGGAAGGGUAUUGCGCCCGACAUGGGGAUUGCGCACCGCUGCCUCUCGUGGGCGGCGCUCUGGGCUUUCCCUGGGCCAGCAUCGGUUCUUGCUGCAGGAGAAGGGGUUCUGGAACGUGGCUCUUCGGAGUGUUAUAGCCAGGGCCAGAUGCUGCGUGCGGGGACCGAGGACUGCGGCCGUGUAGGUCACGGAUGCUGGCAGAACGGCGCAACACCGCCCGUCUUGAAAACACGGACCCA
RNAcentral lists this ribosomal RNA (598 nucleotides) under Pichia kudriavzevii. RNAcentral's name for it is "eukaryotic LSU rRNA". It matches the Rfam family "Eukaryotic large subunit ribosomal RNA", at positions 50 to 669 of the family's 3401-position model. The record is from RNAcentral. Lineage: Eukaryota; Fungi; Ascomycota; Pichiomycetes; Pichiales; Pichiaceae.